GACGAACGCUGGCGGCGUGCUUAACACAUGCAAGUCGAACGGAAAGGCCCUGCUUUUGUGGGGUGCUCGAGUGGCGAACGGGUGAGUAACACGUGAGUAACCUGCCCUUGACUUUGGGAUAACUUCAGGAAACUGGGGCUAAUACCGGAUAGGAGCUCCUGCUGCAUGGUGGGGGUUGGAAAGUUUCGGCGGUUGGGGAUGGACUCGCGGCUUAUCAGCUUGUUGGUGGGGUAGUGGCUUACCAAGGCUUUGACGGGUAGCCGGCCUGAGAGGGUGACCGGCCACAUUGGGACUGAGAUACGGCCCAGACUCCUACGGGAGGCAGCAGUGGGGAAUAUUGCACAAUGGGCGGAAGCCGGAUGCAGCAACGCCGCGUGCGGGAUGACGGCCUUCGGGUUGUAAACCGCUUUCGCCUGUGACGAAGCGUGAGUGACGGUAAUGGGUAAAGAAGCACCGGCUAACUACGU
RNAcentral lists this ribosomal RNA (467 nucleotides) under uncultured bacterium. Its description in RNAcentral is "partial 16S ribosomal RNA". It matches the Rfam family "Bacterial small subunit ribosomal RNA", at positions 28 to 506 of the family's 1533-position model. The record is from RNAcentral.